RNAcentral lists this ribosomal RNA (354 nucleotides) under Macroderes soleiana. Its description in RNAcentral is "partial large subunit ribosomal RNA". The record is from RNAcentral. Lineage: Eukaryota; Metazoa; Arthropoda; Insecta; Coleoptera; Scarabaeidae.
UUUUGAUUAUAAUUUAAAGUUUAACCUGCCCUAUGAUUUAUUAUUAAAUGGCCGCGAUAUUUUGAUCGUGCAAAGGUAGCAUAAUAAUUAGUUUUUUAAUUGAGAACUGGUAUGAAUGGUUGAACGAGAAAAAAACUGUCUCAAUUUAAUUUAAAUUAAAAUUUUAUUUUUAAGUUAAAAAGCUUAAAUAUUUUUAAAAGACGAGAAGACCCUAUAGAGUUUUAUAUAAAUUUAUUAUUUUAAAAAAUUUAAGAAUUUUAAAUUUAAUUAUAAUAAUUUAUAUUUGAUUGGGGUGAUUAAAAAAUUUAAGGAACUUUUUUUAAAUUUAAACAUAAAUUUAUGAAUAGAUGAUCC